Loxodonta africana (African savanna elephant) is the source of this 1466-nucleotide long non-coding RNA. RefSeq lists it as uncharacterized. The record is from RefSeq and is a predicted model, not a curated record. The transcript has 3 exons. Lineage: Eukaryota; Metazoa; Chordata; Mammalia; Proboscidea; Elephantidae.
CAAUCCCGCGUAGCCACCCAAACCGGACUAGGACCAGGCUAGGUCCAGGUCCCCGCUCGGCCAGACUGUCCGAGCAGAAGCGGGACACGGCUGUUAAACCAAAGUGAAAGCGUUUAUUUUGCUGGCCAAGUAAAGGAGCGUGCCGGGACUCCAGGCGCCAAGGCGACUCCCCGAAACUCCCCGCGAGGAGGCCAGCUUUUACGAGGGCAUCAUAGGAAGCAGGACCAAGAACCUGUACAUAACUCAUGACUUUUGCUGAUUUUUCAUUGUGGGGCAGGGCUGGGAACUGGCACUGAAGCGACCGUCGGACCCUUAGCCUCUUGCAGAUGACAGUCACCUCGAAAGAAAGGCCUGGCAAUCUUGAAAAUCAGCCGCUGAAAACCCUAUGGAGCACGCUUCUACUCAGACACACAUGGGGUCGUCAUGAGUUGGAGUCGACCCGACAGCAACUGGUUAACUCCUGGUGGCUCCAGACGUCCCUUGGCUUGUGGCUCCAUCACUCCAUCUCUGCUCCACCUUCACAUGGCCGCCUUCCCUCUGGGUCUGUGUGUCCACCUCUUUGUGUCUCUGUUUGCUCUUUUUAUAAGGACACCUUACUCCAGCAUGACCUCAUGUUGUUGAUAGGUGCCGCAGAGUCUGCUCCUAGUGACCUUAUGUUUAACAGAACCAAACACUGCCCAGUCGUGCACCAUCCUCACGCUAGUAGAUACGUUUGAGCCCAUUCUUGCAGCCACUGUGUCAAUCCGUCUCAUUGAAAGUCUUAUUUUCACUGACCCUCUACUUCACCAAGCAUGAUGUCCUUCUUCAACAAGUGGUCGCUCCUGAUAACAUGUCCAAGUAAGCGAGACAAAGUUAUCUUAACUCAUUAUAUCCACAAAGACCCUAUUUCCAAAGACAGUCACACUCUGAGGUUCCAGGGAUUAGGACUUCACAAUAUCUUUUAUUUGGAGACCCAAUUUAACCCGCUACAAGUGUCUUCUACAUCUGAAGCCCAGCGUUGGCACAUGCGAUGCCCAGGAUACAGUCCCUGCCCUCGGGUAGCUUACAGUUUUAGCCAGGCAAGAACAUAAAAAAGCUAAACUGCAACUUAUGUGACAGCAUGUGUUCCUUCAGAAACUGUUUACUGAGUGCCCCUACUGUGUUUCAUGGAUUGCAAGAUGCGUGCCCCACACCCCCGCCACACACACACAGUUUGACACCUCCUGAGAUGCAUUUUGCUGUCACUGGAAAUUCAUAGUUGAAUCAUCAGAGCUUUCUCUUUCUUGGUGGUACAUAAAAUAAUGGUGCAUUUUACAAUCGACGGUGAGACAAUAAAUUUCUGUUGUUGAAGAUGUUGUCUUAGAUGCGGUGAAAUACAGUAGGAGUGAAGUACCAUUCAAAGUUCUGGGGAUGCUGCUGUGAUGGAAAGAGACAAAACUGGCAGUGGGUAAUAUCAUCAGGCCCUCGCUCAGUAUUUGCUCCUUCCU